RNAcentral lists this ribosomal RNA (484 nucleotides) under uncultured bacterium. RNAcentral describes it as "partial 16S ribosomal RNA". It matches the Rfam family "Bacterial small subunit ribosomal RNA", at positions 30 to 507 of the family's 1533-position model. The record is from RNAcentral.
AUUGAACGCUGGCGGCAGGCCUAACACAUGCAAGUCGAGCGGAUGAAGGGAGCUUGCUCCUGGAUUCAGCGGCGGACGGGUGAGUAAUGCCUAGGAAUCUGCCUGGUAGUGGGGGAUAACGUCCGGAAACGGGCGCUAAUACCGCAUACGUCCUGAGGGAGAAAGUGGGGGAUCUUCGGACCUCACGCUAUCAGAUGAGCCUAGGUCGGAUUAGCUAGUUGGUGGGGUAAAGGCCUACCAAGGCGACGAUCCGUAACUGGUCUGAGAGGAUGAUCAGUCACACUGGAACUGAGACACGGUCCAGACUCCUACGGGAGGCAGCAGUGGGGAAUAUUGGACAAUGGGCGAAAGCCUGAUCCAGCCAUGCCGCGUGUGUGAAGAAGGUCUUCGGAUUGUAAAGAACUUUAAGUUGGGAGGAAGGGCAGUAAGUUAAUACCUUGCUGGUUUGACGUUAACAACAGAAUAAGCACCGGCUAACUUCGUG